UAUUCUAUAUUCUAGCCAGGCUGCGUUGAUGGAACACCCCCAUGUUACGCCUAAAUCCCACCGCCUGUCAGACGCGACUCUCCGCUCCGCUGUGCUGAAGAAAGGUGCCUCGUCUAUUUUUGACGGAGAUCGCGUCAAGCAACACAGAGCAGAUCAAGCUGGACAGGAAGUCAGACACAGAAACAGCAUUGAGCAUCAACGGUGAUGUUUGAACGCUUCUCUGUCAGAGAGACUUCCAACACGGCUCAGUGUGUUUCUCUCACCCCUCCAUCAGUCCUUCCUUUUACUGCCAGCAGGUCGAUGCUACGUCACUAAGUGAAGGAAUCAGAAGUGAGGAAGAAUCACAUGAUGUAACUUAAUGGUGUU
This is a long non-coding RNA of Thunnus maccoyii (southern bluefin tuna), 366 nucleotides long. RefSeq lists it as uncharacterized. The record is from RefSeq and is a predicted model, not a curated record. The transcript is spliced from 2 exons. NCBI's taxonomy places the organism in Eukaryota, Metazoa, Chordata, Actinopteri, Scombriformes, Scombridae.